UACGUAGGGGGCAAGCGUUGUCCGGAUUUAUUGGGCGUAAAGAGCGUGUAGGCGGCCUUACAGGUCAGCUGUGAAAACUCGAGGCUCAACCUCGAGACGUCGGUUGAAACCGUAAGGCUAGAGUCCGGAAGAGGCGAGUGGAAUUCCCGGUGUAGCGGUGAAAUGCGCAGAUAUCGGGGAAGGAACACCCUGACGUAGGCGGAAGGC
This 207-nucleotide ribosomal RNA is filed under the name uncultured bacterium. Its description in RNAcentral is "partial 16S ribosomal RNA". It matches the Rfam family "Bacterial small subunit ribosomal RNA", at positions 524 to 729 of the family's 1533-position model. The record is from RNAcentral.